This 468-nucleotide ribosomal RNA is filed under the name uncultured bacterium. Its description in RNAcentral is "partial 16S ribosomal RNA". It matches the Rfam family "Bacterial small subunit ribosomal RNA", at positions 28 to 507 of the family's 1533-position model. The record is from RNAcentral.
GACGAACGCUGGCGGCGUGCUUAACACAUGCAAGUCGAACGGAAAGGCCCUGCUUUUGUGGGGUGCUCGAGUGGCGAACGGGUGAGUAACACGUGAGUAACCUGCCCUUGACUUUGGGAUAACUUCAGGAAACUGGGGCUAAUACCGGAUAGGAGCUCCUGCUGCAUGGUGGGGGUUGGAAAGUUUCGGCGGUUGGGGAUGGACUCGCGGCUUAUCAGCUUGUUGGUGGGGUAGUGGCUUACCAAGGCUUUGACGGGUAGCCGGCCUGAGAGGGUGACCGGCCACAUUGGGACUGAGAUACGGACCAGACUCCUACGGGAGGCAGCAGUGGGGAAUAUUGCACAAUGGGCGGAAGCCUGAGGCAGCAGCGCCGCGUGCGGGAUGACGGCCUUCGGGUUGUAAACCGCUUUCGCCUGUGACGAAGCGUGAGUGACGGUAAUGGGUAAAGAAGCACCGGCUAACUACGUG